Molecule: ribosomal RNA, 1785 nt
Filed under: Triticum aestivum (bread wheat)
Lineage: Eukaryota; Viridiplantae; Streptophyta; Magnoliopsida; Poales; Poaceae
Description: partial small subunit ribosomal RNA
Source: RNAcentral
AUGGCGUUCUGGUGGCCCCUGCUGGUGCUCGCCGCCGCCUACGCGCUCUGCCGCGUCCUGCUCUUCCUCAUCCCGCCCACCGUCCCCUCCAUGGAGGUCGACGCCUCCGAUGUGAUGGAGGAAGUGAACCAGAACAAGGAGGAUAGCUUCAUCUACGUACCAAGGAAGGGGAAAGCUGCUCAGACUGAUAUGGUUCGAUGCUACGAACCAGCUACUAUGAAAUACUUGGGAUACUUCCCUGCUUUGACUCCUGAUGAGGUCCAGGAGCACGUUGCACAAGCUCGUAAAGCACAAGAGGUAUGGGCAAAAAGUAGCUUCAAACAAAGGCGGCAGUUUCUCCGUAUCCUUCUGAAGUAUAUACUUGAACAUCAGGAUCUGAUAUGCGAGAUAUCAUCUCGGGACACUGGAAAAACUAUGGUUGACGCUUCAUUAGGUGAGAUAAUGACCACCUGUGAGAAGAUUCAUUGGCUUCUGGAUGAGGGUGAGAAGUGGUUAAAACCUGAGUACAGAUCUUGCGGGAGAUCAAUGCUGCACAAAAGUGCAAAAGUUGAAUUCCACCCUCUUGGGGUUAUUGGUGCAAUUGUAUCAUGGAACUAUCCUUUCCAUAAUGUCUUCAAUCCGAUGUUGGCUGCAGUAUUCUCUGGUAAUGCAGCAGUUAUAAAGGUUUCAGAGCAUGCGAGUUGGUCUGGCUGUUUUUAUUCUCGUAUCAUACAAGCAGCUCUGUUAGCUGUUGGUGCCCCAGAUAAUCUGGUUCACAUAGUAACUGGUUUUGCGGAAACGGGUCAAGCUCUUGUAUCUUCAGUGGAUAAAAUAAUAUUUGUUGGAUCACCUGGUGUUGGAAGGAUGAUUAUGCAAAAAGCAUCCGAAACAUUAAUACCUGUAACUCUUGAGCUUGGUGGCAAAGAUGCAUUUAUUGUGUGCGAAGAUGUGGAUUUACCCAAUGUUGUUCAAGUUGCUGUGAGAGCUGCACUGCAAUCUAGUGGACAAAACUGUGCUGGUGCUGAAAGAUUUUAUGUCCACAAGGAUAUCUAUCCUACCUUUGUUUCUCGGGUAGUGAAGAUAAUCAAAUCAAUAUCUGUUGGGCCCCCAUUAUCUGGCAGAUACGAUAUGGGUGCAAUCUGUAUGAUAGAGCACUCUGAGAGACUUCAGAAUCUUGUUAACGAUGCUCUUGACAAAGGUGCUGAAAUUGCUGUCAGAGGGAGCUUUGGUAAUUUGGGUGAAGAUGCGGUUGAUCAGUUCUUUCCUCCAACUGUUCUAGUGAAUGUUAAUCACACAAUGAAAAUUAUGCAGGAAGAGGCAUUUGGGCCGAUUCUACCAAUCAUGAAAUUCUCUUCUGAUGAAGAGGUCAUCCAACUUGCAAAUGACUCUAAAUACGGUCUUGGUUGUGCUGUUUUUUCUGGCAACCAGAAGCGUGCCAUCAAAAUAGCAUCUCAAGUGCAUUGUGGUGUUGCAGCAAUCAAUGACUUUGCUUCAAGUUAUAUGUGUCAGUCUUUGCCCUUUGGUGGCGUUAAAGACAGCGGGUUUGGAAGAUUCGCUGGUGUGGAAGGCUUGCGGGCCUGCUGCCUUGUAAAGGCAGUCGUAGAAGACAGGUGGUGGCCAUAUGUGAAAACAAUGAUCCCCAAGCCUAUUCAGUAUCCCGUCUCGGAGAAUGGAUUUGCAUUCCAGCAGCUGCUCGUCGAGACUCUGUACGGCAUCAGCGUGUGGGACAGGCUGCAGUCGCUCGUGAAUCUGUUAAAGAUGAUCUCGGAGCAGAAGUCUCCUAUAACCAGGAGGAAAAGCCGGUGA